This 468-nucleotide ribosomal RNA is filed under the name uncultured bacterium. RNAcentral's name for it is "partial 16S ribosomal RNA". It matches the Rfam family "Bacterial small subunit ribosomal RNA", at positions 28 to 507 of the family's 1533-position model. The record is from RNAcentral.
GACGAACGCUGGCGGCGUGCUUAACACAUGCAAGUCGAACGGAAAGGCCCUGCUUUUGUGGGGUGCUCGAGUGGCGAACGGGUGAGUAACACGUGAGUAACCUGCCCUUGACUUUGGGAUAACUUCAGGAAACUGGGGCUAAUACCGGAUAGGAGCUCCUGCUGCAUGGUGGGGGUUGGAAAGUUUCGGCGGUUGGGGAUGGACUCGCGGCUUAUCAGCUUGUUGGUGGGGUAGUGGCUUACCAAGGCUUUGACGGGUAGCCGGCCUGAGAGGGUGACCGGCAACAUGGGGCGUGAUGUAGGCCACGGCGCCCAACGGGGGACAGAGGGGGGAAUUAUGGACCAGUGGGGGGAGGCUGGAGACGGAACCCCCCGGGGGGGAAGGCGGGCUUGGGGGUGUAAACAAGCUUCCGCUGGUGACGAAGGGGGUGUGAGGGAAGGGGGAAAAAAAGCACGGGCUAACUAGGGG